This 151-nucleotide small RNA is filed under the name Arabidopsis thaliana (thale cress). RNAcentral's name for it is "ATSL083690". Lineage: Eukaryota; Viridiplantae; Streptophyta; Magnoliopsida; Brassicales; Brassicaceae. The record is from RNAcentral.
AAUUUUAAAAACAAAAACUCAUGCGUAGCAUGGGUGUUCAUCUAAUCAUAUAUAUGAAAGUUGGCCAACUCUCUGCAUAUGAGUGACACAUCAUCACACCAGUGAACGCUACAUGUCAUUCUAAAUUAAUAUUAUUAAAAAAGAAUAAAAG